GACGAACGCUGGCGGCGUGCUUAACACAUGCAAGUCGAACGGAAAGGCCCAGCUUGCUGGGUGCUCGAGUGUCGAACGGGUGAGUAACACGUGGGUGAUCUGCCCCUAACUUCGGGAUAAGCUUGGGAAACUGGGUCUAAUACCGGAUAGGACAAUCGUUUAGUGUCGGUUGUGGAAAGUUUUUUCGGUUAGGGAUGAGCCCGCGGCCUAUCAGCUUGUUGGUGGGGUAAUGGCCUACCAAGGCGUCGACGGGUAGCCGGCCUGAGAGGGUGGACGGCCACAUUGGGACUGAGAUACGGCCCAGACUCCUACGGGAGGCAGCAGUGGGGAAUAUUGCACAAUGGGCGCAAGCCUGAUGCAGCGACGCCGCGUGGGGGAUGACGGCCUUCGGGUUGUAAACCUCUUUCGACAGGGACGAAGCUUUGGUGACGGUACCUGUAUAAGAAGCACCGGCUAACUACGUGC
RNAcentral lists this ribosomal RNA (465 nucleotides) under uncultured bacterium. Its description in RNAcentral is "partial 16S ribosomal RNA". It matches the Rfam family "Bacterial small subunit ribosomal RNA", at positions 28 to 508 of the family's 1533-position model. The record is from RNAcentral.